RNAcentral lists this ribosomal RNA (692 nucleotides) under uncultured bacterium. RNAcentral's name for it is "bacterial SSU rRNA". It matches the Rfam family "Bacterial small subunit ribosomal RNA", at positions 346 to 1036 of the family's 1533-position model. The record is from RNAcentral.
AGGCAGCAGUGGGGAAUAUUGCACAAUGGGCGCAAGCCUGAUGCAGCAACGCCGCGUGAGGGACGACGGCCUUCGGGUUGUAAACCUCUUUUAGUAGGGAAGAAGCGAUGUGCUUGUCACAUCAUGACGGUACCUGCAGAAAAAGCACCGGCUAACUACGUGCCAGCAGCCGCGGUAAUACGUAGGGUGCAAGCGUUAUCCGGAAUUAUUGGGCGUAAAGAGCUCGUAGGCGGUUUGUCGCGUCUGCUGUGAAAACUGGAGGCUCAACCUCCAGCCUGCAGUGGGUACGGGCAGACUAGAGUGCGGUAGGGGAGAUUGGAAUUCCUGGUGUAGCGGUGGAAUGCGCAGAUAUCAGGAGGAACACCAAUGGCGAAGGCAGAUCUCUGGGCCGUAACUGACGCUGAGGAGCGAAAGCAUGGGGAGCGAACAGGAUUAGAUACCCUGGUAGUCCAUGCCGUAAACGUUGGGAACUAGAUGUAGGGACCAUUCCACGGUUUCUGUGUCGCAGCUAACGCAUUAAGUUCCCCGCCUGGGGAGUACGGCCGCAAGGCUAAAACUCAAAGGAAUUGACGGGGGCCCGCACAAGCGGCGGAGCAUGCGGAUUAAUUCGAUGCAACGCGAAGAACCUUACCAAGACUUGACAUAUACGAGAACGGGCUAGAAAUAGUUCACUCUUUGGACACUCGUAAACA